UUUGCAUUUCUUUAUUUUCCAGUUAUUCCAAGUAAAAUUGCCAACUGAAUCAGUAAGCACAAUAGUUUAAAACCAUUAAUAUACAAUAUAACUAUUACUUUGUAUUCCUUUUUUUCUUGGGAAAAGUCAUCUUCUCCUGCUCUGUAAAAUGAGAACAGUAAUGUUUUUGUAUUUCCUUAACCAUUCUGUUUUCAGGACAACAUCGUCCCAGGCGUUCCUAGUGAUGAGCACUUUCAUGCAUGAAUGCUUUUGCUGCAGUCACUGAAAUUACCAAUUUGAUGAGCUGGGGUUUAAAAAUCUAUCCCCAAGUCAUUUCCAGUUCCUGUUGAACAGAGGUGAAUUAUUUGCUGUAACAUUCAGUCAUGAGACCAAUUGAAACAUCAGCUCAUCAAUUUUUUAUUAUUGCCUCUGAUUUGGGAGCCUCAGCAUGUGCAAUUUGUACAAGCCCAACCCAUAUGCUUCAUCUUCACUCGGAGGGCAGCUGAAAAUGAUGGGAUCCUUGAAGGUGGCCGAGGUCAUCACAGCAGACUGCAAACUGAUUGAAGCCUCUGAGGAGUUGCUCAGGACAUGGAUGCCAUUUUCUAAAGUUUUUCUAUGUACAUUUGCAAGCAGAGUGGUAAAUCUUGCCUUCGUUAUGAAGAAAAGAAUGGGGAUGGGAGUGAAAUAGAGGAUGAGAAGAAAGUGAAACUCAGCCAAGUCCCAUUGGGAUUUAAUGGGCAGCUCAUAAGACUUCAUGUGCUAAAGGACUGAUCGGCAAAAGCUAUAGCAGUCUUCCUCAGCCAGCUCUGACAAAAGCAUCCUUAGUCUGCAUUUGAGCUAAGUUUGGUUCUCUGUUUUUAUGUGGGAGAACAGAGUGUGCUAUAUUACAGGAGCUAAACCCUUGAACAUUAAGUUGUCUGAGAUGUAUGCUGCUUUUUCACUUGUGAUUUUAAGAGAACAAUGGAAGUGCUGAUUUUCACCUUUCUGUAAUCUCAGUUUUACAUUGAAGGAGAACCUCAUCUUCAGGAAUAGAGCACGGAAUACAAAAGAUUGUUCUUAAUGUAAAAAACAGCUGGGGAAAUUUUCUAGGAGAUCUAAUACAGUUACUCAAAGUGCAAUGCUGAAUAGCAGAGUGUAUCUCCUUUUCUUUAAUUCUGCUCAGUACUGUACAUUUUUUACUUUCAUUCCUUGUUUCCACAAAUUCAUCUGGGAUGCUCGUUAAUCUGGUAUUCCUAUUAUCAGCAUACUUUGAAAGAGACCAGAUUUCCACCAGAAAUCUUGACAUAUAUGUAAAUCUUCUUCCAGUUAGGAAAAGAAAAGAUAAUACACCACACGUUGGUGUCUAUAGGUCAACCACAGGCUAUAUAAAAUAAGGUUCCAUGUAGUUAAAAUAAAUGAAAAAGAAAAAUCA
RNAcentral lists this long non-coding RNA (1390 nucleotides) under Coturnix japonica (Japanese quail). RNAcentral describes it as "lncRNA (ENSCJPG00005001897.1)". Lineage: Eukaryota; Metazoa; Chordata; Aves; Galliformes; Phasianidae. The record is from RNAcentral.